This 968-nucleotide ribosomal RNA is filed under the name Chordomyces albus. RNAcentral's name for it is "partial 28S ribosomal RNA". It matches the Rfam family "Eukaryotic large subunit ribosomal RNA", at positions 1 to 960 of the family's 3401-position model. The record is from RNAcentral. Lineage: Eukaryota; Fungi; Ascomycota; Sordariomycetes; Glomerellales; Plectosphaerellaceae.
CCCCCAGCAAGUCCGCUCCGGCGGCACCAAGGUUGACCUCGGAUCAGGUAGGAAUACCCGCUGAACUUAAGCAUAUCAAUAAGCGGAGGAAAAGAAACCAACAGGGAUUGCCCUAGUAACGGCGAGUGAAGCGGCAACAGCUCAAAUUUGAAAUCUGGUCCUUUCAGGGCCCGAGUUGUAAUUUGCAGAGGAUGCUUCGGGUACGGGUGCCUACUGAGUUCCCUGGAACGGGACGCCAUAGAGGGUGAGAGCCCCGUCUAGUAGGAUACCCAGCCCAUGUGAAGCUCCCUCGACGAGUCGAGUAGUUUGGGAAUGCUGCUCUAAUGGGAGGUAUACUCCUUCCAAGGCUAAAUACCGGCUGGAGACCGAUAGCGCACAAGUAGAGUGAUCGAAAGAUGAAAAGCACUUUGAAAAGAGAGUCAAAUAGCACGUGAAAUUGUUGAAAGGGAAGCGCUCGCUACCAGACUUGAGUUAGGCGGUUCAACCGGGGCCACGCCCCGGGGCACUCCACCUGCUCAGGCCAGCAUCAGCUUUCCGUCGGGGGCAAAGGCGUCGGGAAUGUGGCUCUCCUCCGGGAGAGUGUUAUAGCCCGGCGUGUCAUACCCUUCGGGGGGCUGAGGUACGCGCUUCUGCAAGGAUGCUGGCGUAAUGGUAGCUAGUGACCCGUCUUGAAACACGGACCAAGGAGUCAACCUUAUGUGCGAGUGCCCGGGCGUAAAACCCCAGCGCGGAAUGAAAGUGAACGUAGGUGAGAGCUUCGGCGCAUCACCGACCGAUCCUGAUGUCCUCGGACGGAUUUGAGUGAGAGCAUAUAGGGUUGGACCCGAAAGAAGAUGAACUAUGCGUGUGUAGGGUGAAGCCAGAGGAAACUCUGGUGGAGGCUCGCAGCGGUUCUGACGUGCAAAUCGAUCGUCAAACAUGCGCAUGGGGGCGAAAGACUAAUCGAAUCUUCUGGUAGCUGGUUUCCG